RNAcentral lists this ribosomal RNA (406 nucleotides) under uncultured prokaryote. RNAcentral describes it as "partial 16S ribosomal RNA". The record is from RNAcentral.
CCCUACGGGGUGCAGCAAGUGGGGGUUUCCGAAGGGCGUUUGCCCGACGGCGGCAGUGCGGUGGUUGCAUUUCCCACGACCCCGACGCCCGAGCAAGGCAAUUACCUGCCUUUAGGCGGUGUGGUCAUCAACGAAGUGCUGACGCACACUGAUCCGCCGCUGGAAGAUGCGAUCGAGCUGGCCAAUCUGACGGCCGCGCCGGUGAAUAUUGGGGGCUGGUAUUUGAGCGACAGCCCGAGCCAAUUGCAGAAGUUUCGCAGCCCGGACGGCACGGUCAUUCCGGCGGGGGGUUGGGCGGUGUUUUACCAAUAUCAGUUUGAUCCUGAUCCCGGGGUGUUUCCCAGCUUUGCGUUGGAUGCGGCGCAGGGCGAGGGGGUAUAUCUCAGUGCGGCGGACGCGGGAGAGC